UGGCGACCGGCGCACGGGUGAGUAACACGUAUGCAACCUGCCCGUCUCAGGGGGAUAAUCGUCGGAAACGGCGUCUAAUACCCCGUAUGAAGCUGGACGGCAUCGUCUGGUUUUGAAAGAAUAUCGGAGACGGAUGGGCAUGCGGCGCAUUAGCUAGUUGGCGGGGUAACGGCCACCAAGGCGACGAUGCGUAGGGGUUCUGAGAGGAAGGUCCCCCACACUGGUACUGAGACACGGACCAGACUCCUACGGAAGGCAGCAG
This 262-nucleotide ribosomal RNA is filed under the name uncultured bacterium. RNAcentral's name for it is "partial 16S ribosomal RNA". It matches the Rfam family "Bacterial small subunit ribosomal RNA", at positions 89 to 354 of the family's 1533-position model. The record is from RNAcentral.